Molecule: small nucleolar RNA, 86 nt
Filed under: Antrostomus carolinensis (chuck-will's-widow)
Lineage: Eukaryota; Metazoa; Chordata; Aves; Caprimulgiformes; Caprimulgidae
Description: Caprimulgus carolinensis (chuck-will's-widow) Small nucleolar RNA SNORD103/SNORD85
Rfam family: Small nucleolar RNA SNORD103/SNORD85
About the family: This family includes the snoRNAs SNORD103 (U103) and SNORD85 (HBII-251) .
Source: Rfam by way of RNAcentral
UCUGGCAGUGACGACACACUUGCCCUCACUGAGAACAACGUUCACUGAGGAGAGCGGUUUCAUGCGCUCAGUGGAGCCGAGCCAGA